Long non-coding RNA from Neopsephotus bourkii (Bourke's parrot), 2051 nucleotides. RefSeq lists it as uncharacterized. The record is from RefSeq and is a predicted model, not a curated record. Lineage: Eukaryota; Metazoa; Chordata; Aves; Psittaciformes; Psittacidae. The transcript is spliced from 3 exons.
UGAUCCUAUGAAAAUACUGCUGGUCCACAGUGUGGGACUAUUUCUGCAUGACCUGGUCCUAGCCUGGCCCUUCAUGUGUGAAUGGAACAGUGUUUUGCUAAUAGGUCCCUUUUUAUAAGUUCACAUAGCCCUGGCGGCUUCAGACAAUGUAAGAAAAAGGCCCUGCCUGGUUUAUCAAUGGCUGCACAAGAGUCUCCAGGGCAGAGUUUGGAAAUUUGCUGGGUUUUCUAGCAAAACAUGUAGGUUGCUCGAAAUGGCAACUUCUCACUUGCAUCAUCAGUGCACAUGUUACUGGUACAGAUUGGUUUUCAAAAUGAGACUGGUGAAGGAAGGGUCAUCCUCCAACUCUUCUGGCCUUAUGUUAUGGAAUAGAGUGUACAGGAAGAAGGAGGAGGUGUAAGAGAAACCAGCAUGCUGGGGUUUGAUGGUUCUGCACCUGUGUCCAAGAUAUGAUGAUACUCCUCAGCUGCAGCUGUCCAUGUCUGGUACUGUAGAGGUGCUGCUGGACCAAGCUCCAACCUUCCACCACCAGUGUUUAGAACCUGCUCUUUGGAUGCUGCAGCCAAAGGGGUUUCCUGCUGAACAAGAAAAGGUUUCUUUUUCAUAAAAGGAACAGUAUUUGUAUGGGCAGGAGGUUGUGACAGUGUCACAGCAGAGUUAGAGGGGAUUUCCUUCUGUUCCCUGAAGAGCCCUUGAGAUUUGUGGUGGUACCUGUGGGCUAAGGACCAUGAAAUCUCCAUGUGCUCCCCUUGAUGUCUUGAUGCAGGAGAUAUAAAACAGUAGAGCUUGUUCAGAUAUGCUGUGGAGCUCUUUAACUUGCUCAGGGCUUCAUUCCUCUGCUGUGGCCAUGAUCUCAGAGGCAAAUCCUGACCAGUAGCACAAAAAAUAACCUGCUGCUUUGGGAAUGCCUGGGGUGAACCCUCAUUCUGGGGAGGAAAGUAUUUCUACUCUCUCCCAUCAUGGAAGUGUCAGAGGUGAGUCAAUCUCACAGAAGACCGAGUUGUGCAGCCAUAAAAGUGUAAGCAAUAUGGUUUUCAUUACAGAUGAAUACUCUUCCCCAGGGGGCAACAUUAGUGCUUUAAAGAGCUGAAAACUGUUCUUGAUGCUGUUUCACUUUGAUUUCUGCUCCUGGCUCCCAGAGCUGCUGCUCAGGACUGUUGCUUACUUCACAAAGGUUUUAUUUUGGAGCAGCAACAGGACAAUAACUAAUUCCAUAGGUGAUUUAGAAAUAACUUUCCUUUAGCAAGAAGACAAAUUGCAACCAGGAAAGACUCAAUCACUCGGGAAACUGUGUGUGCUGUGGUAUAAACCCAAACUCUCCUGUGCCAUCAUGGUUUUGGAUUCAGAGAGGGAGUUUGAUUGAAUUGACAUCCCCAGCCUCUCUCACCAAUCCCCUUCAUUUUGGGACUCCUAAAAUAUGGGCUUUUGAAGACAAAAUGAGCUGCUCCACUGCCAAGAGCAGGUUCUGGUAUUGCCCAAGGCGCAGCAGCAGGGGAAGAGCUCACACUCUGAUAAACUGCUUUUAGAGCAGCACCUACACAAAGUCCUGCACACGUUACUCUGCCACUCACAGAAGCGCAGCACUGCCAGUAAAGCAGAAGAUGUUUAAGACAAGAAAUAAGCUCCAUGUAGCCAGUGGAAAACCUGCUUUAAAUGUCAAAGCAUCUACAAACAUGAAGUGAACACCUAAAAGCCAAAACAUGUGCUGAUGCUCUUUUAGCAGUACACUUGGCCAUCAAGCUGACCAGCAUCAAUUCACUGACAUUCAUCAUUCCCACGUAUCUCAGAGCUGUUUACGAGUGCCCAUGUAUGUCCAUUUGAUUGAUGAGUGAAGAGCAGCCAAGCCAGAGAAGCUCUUAUGAGUAUGAACUGUUCCCUUCUCCUGCUCAGAGCUCAUCCUAAGAGAAUUAGUCUUUAAAAUGUUCCCUUUCUGAAAACAGAGAGGAGGGGAGAGGGCUUUGGGGGUCAUGAAUGAACGGGAAGACAGUUUCAAUUGUUCCUGUGCAUCACUGAUUUGAGUUUUCACCAUCAUUGGUUGCACAGGGCCAUGA